This 460-nucleotide ribosomal RNA is filed under the name uncultured bacterium. RNAcentral's name for it is "partial 16S ribosomal RNA". It matches the Rfam family "Bacterial small subunit ribosomal RNA", at positions 338 to 795 of the family's 1533-position model. The record is from RNAcentral.
CCUACGGGUGGCUGCAGUGAGGAAUAUUGGUCAAUGGGCGCGAGCCUGAACCAGCCAAGUAGCGUGAAGGAUGACUGCCCUACGGGUUGUAAACUUCUUUUAUAAAGGAACAAAGUGAGGCACGCGUGCCUUUUUGUAUGUACCUUAUGAAUAAGGAUCGGCUAACUCCGUGCCAGCAGCCGCGGUAAUACGGAGGAUCCGAGCGUUAUCCGGAUUUAUUGGGUUUAAAGGGUGCGUAGAUGGGUUGUUAAGUCAGUUGUGAAAGUUUGCGGCUCAACCGUAGAAUUGCAAUGGAUACUGGCAGCCUUGAGUACAGUUGAGGUAGGCGGAAUUCGUGGUGUAGCGGUGAAAUGCUUAGAUAUCACGAAGAACUCCGAUUGCGAAGGCAGCUUACUAAACUGCCACUGACAUUGAUGCUCGAAAGUGUGGGUAUCAAACAGGAUUAGAUACCCGUGUAGUC